Molecule: ribosomal RNA, 468 nt
Filed under: uncultured bacterium
Lineage: Bacteria
Description: partial 16S ribosomal RNA
Rfam family: Bacterial small subunit ribosomal RNA
Source: RNAcentral
GACGAACGCUGGCGGCGUGCUUAACACAUGCAAGUCGAACGGAAAAGCCCUGCUUUUGUGGGGUGCUCGAGUGGCGAACGGGUGAGUAGCACGUGAGUAACCUGCCCUUGACUUUGGGAUAACUUCAGGAAACUGGGGCUAAUACCGGAUAGGAGCUCCUGCUGCAUGGUGGGGGUUGGAAAGUUUCGGCGGUUGGGGAUGGACUCGCGGCUUAUCAGCUUGUUGGUGGGGUAGUGGCUUACCAAGGCUUUGACGGGUAGCCGGCCUGAGAGGGUGACCGGCCACAUUGGGACUGAGAUACGGCCCAGACUCCUACGGGAGGCAGCAGUGGGGAAUAUUGCACAAUGGGCGGAAGCCUGAUGCAGCAACGCCGCGUGCGGGAUGACGGCCUUCGGGUUGUAAACCGCUUUCGCCUGUGACGAAGCGUGAGUGACGGUAAUGGGUAAAGAAGCACCGGCUAACUACGUG